AAUUUAAGUAUAUUAAGGGCAUUUGGUGGAUGCCUUGGCGCUAAAAGGCGAUGAAGGACGUAGUACGCUGCGAUAAGCUUCGGGGAGAUGCGAACAAUCUUUGAUCCGAGGAUUUCCGAAUGGGGGAACCCAUCUGAUUUAUCAGAUAUUAUAUAAUGAAUAAAUAGUUAUAUAAAGCAAACCCAGUGAACUGAAAUAUCUAAGUAACUGGAGGAAAGGACAUCAACCGAGACUCCGUUAGUAGUGACGAGCGAAAGCGGACCAGGCCAGUGGUUAUAUUUUAAGAAUUAGAAUGAUUUGGAAAAAUCAGCUAUAAAAGGUGAUAGCCCUGUAUAAGUAGAAAUAAAUAUAAUCCUUGAGUAAGGCGGGACACGUGAAAUCCUGUUUGAAAAUGGGGGGACCACCCUCCAAGCCUAAGUACUCUUUAGCGACCGAUAGUGAACAAGUACCGUGAGGGAAAGGUGAAAAGUACCCCGAUUAGGGGAGUGAAAUAGUUUCUGAAACCAAAUGCCUACAAGCAGUCGGAGCAGAAUUAAUUGCUUGCAAUUAAUCAAUCUGUGACGGCGUACCUCUUGUAUAAUGGGUCAGCGAGUUAGUUUAUCGAGCAAGCUUAAGCCGUUAGGUGUAGGCGUAGCGAAAGCAAGUCUUAAUAGGGCGCAUUAGUUCGAUGAAUUAGACCCGAAACCGAGUGAUCUAGCCAUGAUCAGGUUGAAGAUGCAGUAACAUGCAUUGGAGGACCGAACCCACUACUGUUGAAAAAGUAGGGGAUGAAUUGUGGCUAGGGGUGAAAGGCCAAUCAAACUCGGAAAUAGCUGGUUCUCCGCGAAAUCUAUUUAGGUAGAGCGUUAUAUGAUUAUCAUUGGGGGUAGAGCACUGGAUCGGCUAGGGGGGCCCAAAGCCUUACCAAACCUAACCAAACUCCGAAUACCGAUGAAUACAGUAUAGCAGACAGACCAUGGGUGCUAAGGUCCGUGGUCGAAAGGGAAACAGCCCAGACCGCCAUCUAAGGUCCCCAAAUUAUGACUAAGUGUGAAAGGAUGUGAGAAGACCAAAACAACUAGGAGGUUGGCUUAGAAGCAGCCAUCCUUUGAAGAAAGCGUAAUAGCUCACUAGUCUAAAUAAGUCUUUUUGCGCCUAAAAUGUAACGGGGCUAAAGUCAUAUACCGAAGAUGCGGAUGCAUAUCUAUGAU
This 1190-nucleotide ribosomal RNA is filed under the name Sphingobacteriaceae bacterium. RNAcentral describes it as "partial 23S ribosomal RNA". It matches the Rfam family "Bacterial large subunit ribosomal RNA", at positions 1 to 1220 of the family's 2925-position model. Lineage: Bacteria; Pseudomonadati; Bacteroidota; Sphingobacteriia; Sphingobacteriales; Sphingobacteriaceae. The record is from RNAcentral.